This 484-nucleotide ribosomal RNA is filed under the name uncultured bacterium. Its description in RNAcentral is "partial 16S ribosomal RNA". It matches the Rfam family "Bacterial small subunit ribosomal RNA", at positions 28 to 507 of the family's 1533-position model. The record is from RNAcentral.
GUUGAACGCUGGCGGCAGGCCUAACACAUGCAAGUCGAGCGGAUGAAGGGAGCUUGCUCCUGGAUUCAGCGGCGGACGGGUGAGCAAUGCCUAGGAAUCUGCCUGGUAGUGGGGGAUAACGUCCGGAAACGGGCGCUAAUACCGCAUACGUCCUGAGGGAGAAAGUGGGGGAUCUUCGGACCUCACGCUAUCAGAUGAGCCUAGGUCGGAUUAGCUAGUUGGUGGGGUAAAGGCCUACCAAGGCGACGAUCCGUAACUGGUCUGAGAGGAUGAUCAGUCACACUGGAACUGAGACACGGUCCAGACUCCUACGGGAGGCAGCAGUGGGGAAUAUUGGACAAUGGGCGAAAGCCUGAUCCAGCCAUGCCGCGUGUGUGAAGAAGGUCUUCGGAUUGUAAAGCACUUUAAGUUGGGAGGAAGGGCAGUAAGUUAAUACCUUGCUGUUUUGACGUUACCAACAGAAUAAGCACCGGCUAACUUCGUG